ACUGUACAAACUUCUCCAUUCUUAAAAAAUAAAAUUCACUCCAAAAGGGACCCUAUUAUUUGGAAUUUCCCACAUAAUAUAGGAAAAAUUAACAGUCCCAACACCUUGAAUAACACUAAAGACUUCAUCUCGAUUAAAAACAGGAAGCUCUAUCAGAAUCUAAAGUACAUCCUGCAAAAAUUAAUUAUCAGUUGUAAAAAACAUGGAAUUUCUCAAACAAACUUAUUUAUAAAAAUCAAUUAAUAAAUAAUUUUAAUUUACUGUUGGAAAUUCAAAAAUGGUUAUACAUGGCCAGUGAAGCAGUUGUUUCCAGACCAUGAAAAAUAAUUGAUUGAUAUUUUAUCAUCCCACUAAAUAGAAACUAAAGCAUUCUAUACUCCAUAAAAACAUCUUAAGUUGAGGGCCAUUGGAAGUUAAAAACAUCUGCAACCCAUUGCGUCGUCCAUAAAAUGAUCAAAAUAUAAAAAAGAUCAAAACCUUGAAAACUUCACUUGCGUCGUCAUUCUUAUCUCUACCUCAUAAAAUUAAACCACUUUACCCCGUCAUGUAAUAGAGAAAGGAAAUAAAAUAAGAACCCCAUUAUUUAGUUUCUGCAGUUGUCUUGACUUCCUAAUUAUGAAUGCAAUUAAUAAGCAUCCCUCGACCACUGGUGCAUUCAUAGUCAUUCAACAAAAAGUUAUGUUUAUAUUACCAAAAAUAAUACUCAUCUCAACAAAACACAAGUUUAAACCUUUUCAUCUUUCUUAUUCUUUUUUUUCUAACAACAGCUAAGAACGCCUCUUAAUUAUAUCUGGAGAUUGAUCAAUUUACAGAUUGUAUAUAUACAGUUGUAUUUAGCUAAAUCAAAAUUAAACCUGAGUUGGAAUGUCGUUUAGGACCAUCUCCUGCAUUAAUAGUUGAAAAAUUAGUAGUGACAGCUGCUCUUCCAGCAGCACCACAAGUGUGUCAAACAAUAAUCAGAACAACCUUUACCAUUUUAAUGAUAUCUGCAAAAUAAACUCAAUUAUAAUAACCCACAAUCUUGAUUAUGUUUCCUCGACCAUACUAUUAUAACUCUCGUUAUCCUCAUAUUUAUAUUAACGGAUAAAUAUUUAAGAGAAAACCAAAAUACUUUUCUUGGAUACUGGAAGUGGAUGUAAUCAAAAUAUUGCACUAUCUAAAAGAGCAACAAAUAACAUUCAAUUCAUGAGUUCUAAUUAUCAAACAUAUAUAAAGCAGGAAAAUUUUUAAAAGAAAGAGAGGAUUAGGGUUAGGUAGUGGAAAAAAUUAUUCAUGUUGAACAGUAAGGGAUUCAUAAUCUGUGUGUACCCGAGCUUGAGGCAUACCUAAUCGAAAAUCAGGGAUUGAUAGUUGCUGAUUAAGAAGGUAAUGGAAAUAGGGAAGACCAUUGGAAGCGAAUCCGCUUUGUUGUUUCUUUUUCACUUUAAGUGCUUGUAACUGAAGGGUGGAAUAAUUGCUCUGAAACGUGGUUGUUUGAGACCAUUUGGGGAAUUUGCACUGAAACGUGCUGGUUUGAAACGGAUAGGGGAUGUUGGAAUAUUACUUCAUUGGAAAAAUUGAUA
RNAcentral lists this long non-coding RNA (1562 nucleotides) under Nicotiana benthamiana. Its description in RNAcentral is "long non-coding RNA (NBEN_LNC023777)". Lineage: Eukaryota; Viridiplantae; Streptophyta; Magnoliopsida; Solanales; Solanaceae. The record is from RNAcentral.